RNAcentral lists this ribosomal RNA (304 nucleotides) under uncultured eukaryote. RNAcentral's name for it is "SSU rRNA". It matches the Rfam family "Eukaryotic small subunit ribosomal RNA", at positions 587 to 901 of the family's 1831-position model. The record is from RNAcentral.
AGCUCCAAUAGCGUAUAUUAAAGUUGUUGCAGUUAAAAAGCUCGUAGUUGGAUUUCUGGGAGGGUGCCAAUGUCCGCCUUUGCGCGUGUGCAGCGGCGCCCUUCCAUCCUUCUGUUAACGUCUCUUGGCAUUCAUUUGCUGGUGGCGGGCUCAGAUAUUUUACCUUGAGAAAAUUAGAGUGUUUCAGGCAGGCUAGGCCGGAAUACAUUAGCAUGGAAUAAUGGAAUAGGACUAUAGUCUCUUUGUUGGUUUUGAGGGACUGCAGUAAUGAUUAAUAGGGAUAGUUGGGGGCAUUAGUAUUUAA